AAUAGCAUACUCAUUUGACGUUAGCUGCAGAAGAAGCACCGGCUAACUCCGUGCCAGCAGCCGCGGUAAUACGGAGGGUGCGAGCGUUAAUCGGAAUUACUGGGCGUAAAGCGCAUGCAGGUGGUUUGUUAAGUCAGAUGUGAAAGCCCGGGGCUCAACCUCGGAAUUGCAUUUGAAAACUGGCAAACUAGAGUACUGUAGAGGGGGUAGGAAUUUCAGGUGUAGCGGUGAAAUGCGUAGAGAUCUGAAGGAAUACCGGUGGCGAAGGCGGCCCCCUGGACAGAUACUGACACUCAGAUGCGAAAGCGUGGGGAGCAAACAGGAUUAGAUACCCUGGUAG
This 340-nucleotide ribosomal RNA is filed under the name uncultured bacterium. RNAcentral's name for it is "bacterial SSU rRNA". It matches the Rfam family "Bacterial small subunit ribosomal RNA", at positions 455 to 793 of the family's 1533-position model. The record is from RNAcentral.